RNAcentral lists this ribosomal RNA (372 nucleotides) under uncultured bacterium. RNAcentral describes it as "bacterial SSU rRNA". It matches the Rfam family "Bacterial small subunit ribosomal RNA", at positions 32 to 414 of the family's 1533-position model. The record is from RNAcentral.
AAUCAACGCUGGCGGCGUGCCUAACACAUGCAAGUCGCACGAGAAAGGGGAGCAAUCCCUGAGUAAAGUGGCGCACGGGUGAGUAACACGUGAAUCAUCUACCUCCGAGUGGGGAAUAACUGAGAGAAAUCUUAGCUAAUACCGCAUAACACUUACGAGUCAAAGCAGCAAUGCGCUUGGAGAGGAGUUCGCGGCCGAUUAGUUAGUUGGCGGGGUAAUGGCCCACCAAGACGAUGAUCGGUAUCCGGCCUGAGAGGGCGCACGGACACACUGGAACUGAAACACGGUCCAGACUCCUACGGGAGGCAGCAGUGGGGAAUUUUGCGCAAUGGGGGAAACCCUGACGCAGCAACGCCGCGUGGAGGAUGAAGU